GAUGAACGCUGACAGAAUGCUUAACACAUGCAAGUCUACUUGAACUUCGGUUUGGGUGGCGGACGGUUGAGUAACGCGUAAAGAACUUGCCUCACAGUUAGGGACAACAUUUGGAAACGAAAGCUAAUACCUGAUAUUAUGAUUUUAGGGCAUCCUAGGAUUAUGAAAGCUAUAUGUGCUGUGAGAGAGCUUUGCGUCCCAUUAGCUAGUUGGAGAGGUAACGGCUCACCAAGGCGAUGAUGGGUAGCCGGCCUGAGAGGGUGAACGGCCACAAGGGGACUGAGACACGGCCCUUACUCCUACGGGAGGCAGCAGUGGGGAAUAUUGGACAAUGGACCAAAAGUCUGAUCCAGCAAUUCUGUGUGCACGAUGACGUUUUUCGGAAUGUAAAGUGCUUUCAGUUGGGAAGAAAAAAAUGACGGUACCAACAGAAGAAGUGACGGCUAAAUACGUG
Molecule: ribosomal RNA, 454 nt
Filed under: uncultured bacterium
Lineage: Bacteria
Description: partial 16S ribosomal RNA
Rfam family: Bacterial small subunit ribosomal RNA
Source: RNAcentral